UAGCUAGUUGGUGAGGUAAAGGCUUACCAAGGCGACGAUCUGUAGCGGGUCUGAGAGGAUGAUCCGCCACACUGGAACUGAGACACGGUCCAGACUCCUACGGGAGGCAGCAGUGGGGAAUUUUGGACAAUGGGGGCAACCCUGAUCCAGCCAUGCCGCGUGAGUGAAGAAGGCCUUCGGGUUGUAAAGCUCUUUCGGCCGGGAAGAAAUCGCAUGGGCCAAUACCCUGUGUGGAUGACGGUACCGGAAUAAGAAGCACCGGCUAACUUCGUGCCAGCAGCCGCGGUAAUACGUAGGGUGCGAGCGUUAAUCGGAAUUACUGGGCGUAAAGCGUGCGCAGGCGGUUUUGUAAGACAGGCGUGAAAUCCCCGGGCUUAACCUGGGAACUGCGUUUGUGACUGCAAGGCUAGAGUACGGCAGAGGGGGGUGGAAUUCCACGUGUAGCAGUGAAAUGCGUAGAGAUGUGGAGGAACACCAAUGGCGAAGGCAGCCCCCUGGGUCGAUACUGACGCUCAUGCACGAAAGCGUGGGUAGCAAACAGGAUUAGAUACCCUGGUAGUCCACGCCCUAAACUAUGUCAACUAGGUGUUGGGUGGGUAAAACCAUUUAGUACCGUAGCUAACGCGUGAAGUUGACCGCCUGGGGAGUACGGCCGCAAGGUUAAAACUCAAAGGAAUUGACGGGGACCCGCACAAGCGGUGGAUGAUGUGGAUUAAUUCGAUGCAACGCGAAAAACCUUACCUACCCUUGACAUGCCAGGAACUUGCCAGAGAUGGCUUGGUGCCCGAAAGGGAGCCUGGACACAGGUGCUGCAUGGCUGUCGUCAGCUCGUGUCGUGAGAUGUUGGGUUAAGUCCCGCAACGAGCGCAACCCUUGUCGUUAAUUGCCAUCAUUUGGUUGGGCACUUUAACGAGACUGCCGGUGACAAACCGGAGGAAGGUGGGGAUGACGUCAAGUCCUCAUGGCCCUUAUGGGUAGGGCUUCACACGUCAUACAAUGGUCGGUACAAAGGGUUGCCAAGCCGCGAGGCGGAGCCAAUCCCAGAAAGCCGAUCGUAGUCCGGAUUGCAGGCUGCAACUCGCCUGCAUGAAGUCGGAAUCGCUAGUAAUCGUGGAUCAGCAUGUCACGGUGAAUACGUUCCCGGGUCUUGUACACACCGCCCGUCACACCAUGGGAGCGGGUUCCGCCAGAAGUGGGUAGCCUAACCGCAAGGAGGGCGCUUACCACGGCGGGGUUCUUGACUGGGGUGAAGUCGUAACAAGGUAGCCGUAGGGGAACCUGCGGCUG
This 1287-nucleotide ribosomal RNA is filed under the name metagenome. Its description in RNAcentral is "bacterial SSU rRNA". It matches the Rfam family "Bacterial small subunit ribosomal RNA", at positions 242 to 1520 of the family's 1533-position model. The record is from RNAcentral.